ACAGAAUAUAGAUAAAAAUGUACUUGCUAUCGAAGACAACGCAUCUAUCUGUCUUGGAAAAUAUCCAUCCUUCAUCAUUCCCUUAUGCACGGAAUUAAUUGAUUUGACUUUGGAUCUUGAGCAUAGGGGAAGCCAAACACCACAGCUGUAUGGUUCUCAUGCCCCAUCAUAAUCUGGUGGACGUGGGGAAUGGUUUUCUGCUACUAAAUCAGAUUGUUCUAUGUCCUCUUAUUCAACACUGAUAAUGAGUUAAAGAGGGAAGAAAGAAGAAAGUGAUAUGGAAACGGAUUCUCCAUUUCUUGGUUCAAGCUGAGAUUCUGGUGCUGCAGAUGAGUUAAACAGGGUUUACAAGAAUUUGGCACCAACUUUGGACAGUUCACUACAUCGAUACAAGGAACGCAAGGUUUCUAGGAUGCAUCUUGAGGUGGUGAAGGAGCUUGAGGCUGCUAUGACAUCUUCACCAAAGAUUGAUAUGAUGGUGUAGAAGACUAGCAUGUCUCCAGGAAUGCAGCAAUAAUCCAGCUAUCAAUCUCAUGGUCAAGUAUUGCUUGUAGAAGCGUGGAUACUAUCUAACAUCAUGGUGGCCAUGGUCCAUACCUGAAUUAUUGUUGUGAGCACCUACAACUACUCAACACCUGUUGCAUAAAACAAUAUUUUAUGGUCAUGAUCUAGUAUGGUCUCUUCCAAUUUAAGAUUCCAUGUUCCCUUGGUUGAUGUUAGAUCAACCAUGGACUAGUGCAUUGUGAGACUGUGAGAAUC
This is a long non-coding RNA of Musa acuminata subsp. malaccensis (wild Malaysian banana), 759 nucleotides long. RefSeq lists it as uncharacterized. NCBI's taxonomy places the organism in Eukaryota, Viridiplantae, Streptophyta, Magnoliopsida, Zingiberales, Musaceae. The record is from RefSeq and is a predicted model, not a curated record.